GCGGCCGCAAGUCCCGUAAGGGCGCGGGUGAGGAAAGUCCGGGCUUCGUAGGGCAGGAUACCGGAUAACGUCCGGCGGAGGUGACUCCCGGGAAAGUGCAACAGAAAACAACCGCUCUUUAUAGAGUAAGGGUGAAAAGGCGGUGUAAGAGACCACCGUGCAGAUGGUAACAUCUGUAGCAAUGUAAACCCUAUCCGAAGCAAGACCAAAAAGAAAACGAUGGGCUGGCCCGGUCCGUUUUCAGGUGGGUCGCUCGAGGCUGUUGGUAACAGCAGUCCUAGAUAGAUGAUCAUUCUCGACAUAACCCGGCUUAUAGGCCUGCUCAU
Molecule: RNase P RNA, 326 nt
Filed under: uncultured Butyrivibrio sp.
Lineage: Bacteria; Bacillati; Bacillota; Clostridia; Lachnospirales; Lachnospiraceae
Description: Bacterial RNase P class A
Rfam family: Bacterial RNase P class A
About the family: Ribonuclease P (RNase P) is a ubiquitous endoribonuclease, found in archaea, bacteria and eukarya as well as chloroplasts and mitochondria. Its best characterised activity is the generation of mature 5'-ends of tRNAs by cleaving the 5'-leader elements of precursor-tRNAs. Cellular RNase Ps are ribonucleoproteins.
Source: RNAcentral